This 465-nucleotide ribosomal RNA is filed under the name uncultured bacterium. Its description in RNAcentral is "partial 16S ribosomal RNA". It matches the Rfam family "Bacterial small subunit ribosomal RNA", at positions 28 to 507 of the family's 1533-position model. The record is from RNAcentral.
GACGAACGCUGGCGGCGUGCUUAACACAUGCAAGUCGAACGGUAAGGCCCUUUCGGGGGUACACGAGCGGCGAACGGGUGAGUAACACGUGAGUAAUCUGCCCACCUCAUCGGGAUAACUCCCGGAAACCGAAGCUAAUACCGAAUACGACCACGCCCGGCAUCGGGUGGGGGGGGAAAGUUUGUGCGGUGGUGGAUGAGCUGGCGGCCUAUCGCUUGGUUGGUGGGGUAACGGCCCCCAAGGGCUUCGCGGGGUAGCCGGCCGGGGGGGGGGACCGGCAAAAUUGGGAUGGAGAACGGGCCCAGCCUCCUACGGGAGCAAGAAGGGGGAAAUAUUGAAAAAUGGCGGAAAGCCUGAGCCAGCAAGGCGGGGGGGGGGAUGACGGCUUUCGGGUGGAAACCGUUUUUAAGCAGGGACGAAGCGCAAGUGACGGUACCAGCAGAAGAAGCACCGGCUAACUACGUG